GUAUUGCUUUGUCCAUGAUACGAGAUGACAUAGAGAAGGAAGAUGCUUUCAGAGGUUUAUGUGCAAUGGUUAGAGCAAAUCCAUCCGGGGCCUUAAAUUCUCUUCUCUUUAUGUGCAAGGCAAUUGCAAGUUGGCAUG
Non-coding RNA from Salvia hispanica, 138 nucleotides. The record is from RefSeq and is a predicted model, not a curated record. Lineage: Eukaryota; Viridiplantae; Streptophyta; Magnoliopsida; Lamiales; Lamiaceae.